RNAcentral lists this long non-coding RNA (963 nucleotides) under Lepeophtheirus salmonis (salmon louse). Its description in RNAcentral is "uncharacterized LOC121114044". The record is from RNAcentral. Lineage: Eukaryota; Metazoa; Arthropoda; Copepoda; Siphonostomatoida; Caligidae.
UUUUGCUCUUUGUUCAUGCUCUAAGAUUUGAGUAUACAUACAUCAUUUACGUUUGCUCAUAAAUGAUGUAUGUAUUUUCCAGUGAUCUUAAACAUCAAGACUCAAGGUUUUCCCCAGUCGUAAAAUGUAGAUUGGUUUCGGCUUCCUUGAGUAAAAAAACAAACAAUGUCUAUUUUGGAGGAGUCUGACGUUGUAGGUCGGCAAUUAUCGGUUGUGAGGGAUCAUAGCAUAAAGAGAAAGGGUAAACUCUUUCGACAAAUAGCAGAGGCAACUUGCAACAUCUACGAUGGUAGAAGAAUCACAAGACUUCUUUUAACUCGUCUCAUGGAUGAACGGAAAGUAUGUAGCUUUGAAGAAUUUGAUGGGGAGAUUCUCAUUCGUGCUAGAGAUGAAAACAAUUUUAAAAAUAAUGAAAUGAUUGUCUUUGAGCAAGAAUGGGCAGAAAAUUGGAAUCCAGAGCUUUCACAUCACGAUGCUAACUCAAGACUAUUACCCCAUAUAUUUGGACAAUGAACGGAUUCCUCUAAAAAAUUAUAUAUCCUCUGUGUAUAUGUAUAUAUAUUUCAUCAUUGUUACUCGAAAUUUGAGAUUGAAUGUAUAUGUGUAUGAUGAUUAAUUUAAUCAUGCCACCAAUUAUUUUGUCCAUUUAUUCAUUCAAGUAAAUUAAUAUGCAUGUCAUUUAAAAUCAUAAUGCAAGUAUACUCAUAUUAUUAAUAAUAUAUACAUAAUAUAAUACGUAUUUCCUAGAAAAAUGACGGAACUUUUUCGCGGAAGGCCACACAACCUUUUAAAAUUUGAAAACAAUUAGUUUAGAAUAUGCUUUUUCAAUAUAUAUUUUUUUACUUUAUUUUUAAUGUACAACUUUGAUAUAUAUCUUAUUCAUUAACUGUGUUUACAAUUUGUAAUUAUAAUUAUGCUUACUCCUCCAUUUGUUUGAAAUCGAAAUACACAAUAUAUGUAAUA